This 119-nucleotide ribosomal RNA is filed under the name Pteropus alecto (black flying fox). The record is from RNAcentral. Lineage: Eukaryota; Metazoa; Chordata; Mammalia; Chiroptera; Pteropodidae.
GUCUAUGGCCAUGCCACCCUGAACACGCCCGAUCUUGUCUGAUCUCAGAAGCUAAGCAGGGUCGAGCCUGGUUAUUACUUGGUUGGGAGACCACCUAGGAAUACCAGAUGCUAUAGGCA